RNAcentral lists this transfer RNA (72 nucleotides) under Salmo salar (Atlantic salmon). It matches the Rfam family "tRNA". Rfam says of the family: Transfer RNA (tRNA) molecules are approximately 80 nucleotides in length. Their secondary structure includes four short double-helical elements and three loops (D, anti-codon, and T loops). Further hydrogen bonds mediate the characteristic L-shaped molecular structure. tRNAs have two regions of fundamental functional importance: the anti-codon, which is responsible for specific mRNA codon recognition, and the 3' end, to which the tRNAs corresponding amino acid is attached (by aminoacyl-tRNA synthetases). tRNAs cope with the degeneracy of the genetic code in two manners: having more than one tRNA (with a specific anti-codon) for a particular amino acid; and 'wobble' base-pairing, i.e. permitting non-standard base-pairing at the 3rd anti-codon position. The record is from Rfam by way of RNAcentral. Lineage: Eukaryota; Metazoa; Chordata; Actinopteri; Salmoniformes; Salmonidae.
UUCCCUGUGGCUCAGUUGGUAGAGCAUGGUGUUUGCAACGCCAGUGUUACGGGUUCGAUUCCCACGGGGGAC